RNAcentral lists this long non-coding RNA (311 nucleotides) under Zostera marina. RNAcentral's name for it is "long non-coding RNA (ZMAR_LNC004996)". The record is from RNAcentral. Lineage: Eukaryota; Viridiplantae; Streptophyta; Magnoliopsida; Alismatales; Zosteraceae.
CAUUAGCCCAAGUAUUAUAAUUGGACUCACCUGUUAAUUUGUCCGAAACCAUCAGGGCUCCGGGAUGAUCGCCUGAAUUCAGAAAGUAAAUUGAAUCUCUGUCAUUCAGUGCUGAGGUGUGAUGAGAUCUUCUUGUUCUUUUGGAGUGAUGAGUGUGAUGCUUUUUGUGGUGGGGAGAUUUUUUUAUGUGAUGCUUUGGAGAUGAUAACGGACUCUGGCGUGGUGGAGAGUGAAGGAGAUGCUUUGCCGCCGACGGAAUUGUUCCAGUAGAAUCGGCGGAGGUAGAGUCAGAUUCUGUUCUGUUCUCGCUG